UACGUAGGGCGCGAGCGUUGUCCGGAUUUAUUGGGCGUAAAGAGCUCGUAGGCGGCUCAUUGCGUCAACCGUGAAAACCUGCCGCUCAACGGUAGGCUUGCGGUUGAUACGGGUGGGCUGGAGUUCGGUAGGGGAGACUGGAAUUCCUGGUGUAGCGGUGAAAUGCGCAGAUAUCAGGAGGAACACCGGUGGCGAAGGCGGGUCUCUGGGCCGAUACUGACGCUGAGGAGCGAAAGCGUGGGGAGCGAACAGG
RNAcentral lists this ribosomal RNA (253 nucleotides) under uncultured bacterium. RNAcentral describes it as "partial 16S ribosomal RNA". It matches the Rfam family "Bacterial small subunit ribosomal RNA", at positions 524 to 776 of the family's 1533-position model. The record is from RNAcentral.